Molecule: ribosomal RNA, 200 nt
Filed under: uncultured bacterium
Lineage: Bacteria
Description: partial 16S ribosomal RNA
Rfam family: Bacterial small subunit ribosomal RNA
Source: RNAcentral
GAUGAACGCUAGCGGCAGGCCUAACACAUGCAAGUCGAGGGGUAGAAGGAGCUUGCUCCUUUGAGACCGGCGCACGGGUGCGUAACGCGUAUGCAAUCUGCCUUUUACAGGGGAAUAGCCCAGAGAAAUUUGGAUUAAUGCCCCAUAGCAUUACGGGAUGGCAUCAUCUUGUAAUUAAAGUUCCAUCGGUAAAAGAUGAG